Molecule: ribosomal RNA, 172 nt
Filed under: uncultured Megasphaera sp.
Lineage: Bacteria; Bacillati; Bacillota; Negativicutes; Veillonellales; Veillonellaceae
Description: partial 16S ribosomal RNA
Rfam family: Bacterial small subunit ribosomal RNA
Source: RNAcentral
GGGCAUCUGCGCAUGGGGGAAGCCCUGACGCAGCGCGCCGCGUGCGGGAAGAAGGCCUUCGUUUGUAAACCGUGUUUUACUGGGCGCAGCCUUUGGGGCGAGUGUUCUUUUUCCGUGACCGCCCGGUAAGUGAAAGCCACGGCUAACUACGUGCCAGCAGCCGCGGUAAUAC